CUGACCUCAACUGAUCCACCUGCCUUGGCCUUCCAAAGUGCUGGGAUUACAGGCUUGAGCCACUGCGCUCAGCCUGAAGCAUUUUAUCAUGCUCGCUACAAGGUGUUCAUAAGUAGUAAAUAAAGCCCUUGGGCUAGAUAAUGUAAGAUCCAUUGCAACCCGGAGAUGAAGAACUUUAUAAAGGGGAUAAUUGUUAUCACCCAUCAGAGUUUUAAGAUGAUCUACAUGUAGUCCCACUAAUUAUAUUUCUCCUAACUUUUAUAGACAGAGAAAUCAGUGAAAAAUAUGUAUUUCUAAGGAUUAAAUCCCAAUCCGUAGCUCAAGGCUACCUUUAUGUCUAAUAGUUGUGAUAUAAUAUGUUGCUUAGAGUAGUUCUAUAAAUGGAAUUCACACAUAGGACCAUAGAAUCACUUCUUCACAGGGUUUCAGAGUUGGUGGACAUAUAAAAGGAUAAAUCAACCCAUAAAUCUGUAAGUAUUCCUAAAAAAAGAGUGAUGUGUCAGUUAUUGGCACCAGUACAUGAUGAAUCCUGCUGGGCUGUGGAGAAAGGAGAAACUGACCUGAACAGCACUAUACUCUACACAGCUGUCCCUGACAUUCCACACCUGUUAGCAUUCAGUAUUAAUUUCAUGGAUCAAAUCAAGGCAUGCAAGUGCAUUAAAUAACUUUUUAAAAAACAACUGCUGAUUGCUGAGGGUCUGUGAGGGAAGAAAAAUUAGGGGCUGUUAUUUUCCUAUCAGCCAUUACUCUGAUUAACAAGAACAGGAAACAUUAUGAAUAAAUAAAACUCUUACAUCAUACCAGAAAAAACAGCUGAAUCCCCUAAAGGAUUUCAUAUUCUAUCAUCAGACAACUAAAGAAAAUAAUUCCAUAUAAAUGGCUGCAUUAAUCAUUGAAAGAAACUUCCCUGCUUUUUUAAAAGAGCAACUAGAAAUAUUUACUUUUUGAAAAUAGAGUAACCAUUUGUUAAGCCAUAUAUACCAUUGAGGAUGUUUUGGGUAUAAAAGGGAAUUUCCAUAAUAAUUACAUAGUAAUCUUUUAUAGCCAAAGUUAUGAAGAUGAUCAGAAUAUGGGAAAAUUGUGGUCAAGAUUUGAUUAGCCUUAUCUAAAUUCCCCUAAUGAGUGUGUAAAAAUGUAUAUCUAAUUUACCUUUUGGGGGAGGUUUAACGUAAAUAUAAAUAAAAAUUCUUUCCCCAGGUAAAAAAAAGUUACAUAGUUGAAUUCUACCUUUUCUCAUUUCUCUACAUCCAAACCUAUCACCAAGUACUGUUAAUUUUACUUUAUAAAGCUCUCUUGAUGUGUCUCUUCAACCUCAUCACCACUGCUUUAAAUGAGGCAUACUUCCUCAUUUGGAUUAUGGCAGCAGUCUCUCUUCCUUUAGCCUUUCCUUCAAAUCCACCUCCAUCCUUCAUAUCAUCCAUCAUGUAUUUUUCCCUGUCUAAAUUCCUUGGUUGGCUUCUAUUAAAUCCAAGUUCCUUAAGCAUGGCAAACAGGGGCCAGCUUCCACGAGCUGGUCCAUACUUCUCCUGCCUCAUUUCCUGACACUUUCCCUUAUACCUUGAGAUCCAGCUUGCCAGUAGUUCCCCAAUACCUCCACCGCAUAUACAACCACAUAUAUAUACAUCCUUAUCCCCUCCCUCAUGUACCACCCAUGUAUAAUUCUCUCCAUCUCAUGCUUUAUCACAUUCCUACAAGCCUUGAAGCAAUCUGAACAUAGAUACCAUCUUUAAUUCGACUCCUAAUUGGGGCCGAACAUACUUGUCUUGAACAGAGAUUGCUGCCUUGUUAGUAUAGGUAUCCUAAUAUGGCACAUGUAUAUAGUUGAAGCUAUAACGCAUUUCCCAAGUUCCACUUCAGGACUAAAGGGUUAUUUCCCAACAGCUGGAAGUCCUGCUGCCAGACAGACUUCUUCUGGAAUGUCCCCAACUCAAGACAGCCCUGAAGGACCUUUCCCAGUUUUCCAUGGGGUCCACUGAGGCUUUGAGAUUGAACUGAAAUUAACUUCCCCCUCUGCUGUAGCUUCCCUUCAACAGGUGUUUAUCACAAGAACAAUCGCUAAUAAACUUCCUGUGAGCACACUCUCAGAGUCAGCUUGCUGGGGAACCCAAGCUAUAACAACAUGUUUAUCUUGUUGACACUCUCUUAUGAGUUCUAAAUCAUGGGAAGUUAUGGUUAUCCAAAAAUCUUACUAAUUGAAGAUCAUUUCAUCAGACAUGUAUUGAGCACCCGCUGCAUGCCAGGCAUUGUGCCAGAUACGAUGGAAACAAAUCAAGACUUGGCCCCUGUCGUGGAGUUUACAGUCUGAGGUGACAGUUACAUAUGGAACUAAUUGUACUAUAGCAUCUUGAAAAUCUUUUUGAUUUAAACAUCAAUAAUUUUAGUAUAACAGUCAAAAGCAUGGAUUUUGUGGUGUUACAAAACACAAAAGGAAAACAUUUCAGGGGAAGGAAUACGAAUAUAAGUAAGUUGAAUGAAAUUUUAGAAGAGCACAGAGUUUGUCUUUAUAAUUCUGAAAGCCUUCAGGGAAAAGUUAAUUUUUUCACUUUUUGUUUUGAAAUAAUUUCAAACUUACAGAAAAGUCACAUGAAUACUGAACUCCCAUAUACCCUUUAUGCAGAUAUAUCAGUUUUUAACGUUUUCCUUCAUUCUGUUUCUUUACAUGCAUACAAUUUAUUUUUGUGAACUAUCUGAGAAUAGGUUAAAUACUACAUUAUAUCACUUUAUACCUUAAAAAUGUAGUAUUUCCUAGAAACAAGGGUAUUCACCUCUGUAACCACAACGCAGUUGUCAGAUUCAGGUAAUUUGACCUUGAUCUUUAAUCUAGAGCCCAGAUUCAGAUUUUAUUAAUUGUCCCAAAAAAGAUGAGUUUAGGAAGAGUCAUAUAACUUAACUUUUGUAAUGUAAAUUAAAAAUCAUAUGAAAAAUCAUAGAACUCGGAAGUUUGCUAACCUGAUUUAAAUACCACAGUGAAAUGAACCACUUCUGAUUUUCUAUGGAGAAAGCAAGGAUUAGGUCCAGGUUACCUGUAAAGCUGUGACUUAGGGCUCCCAGCAGUGAACGUUGCUCUGGAGAGCCCAUUUGGUGAGGUUCUUUUCAAGAGAUUGUAUAUUUUUGAUCCAGGGAUUGUCGAUUUGUUGAACUCCCAUGUAAGUAUGCCGCCUUGCCAUUAACAGGUCUUCACAAUGCUUAAACGACAUUCUUUGGAACUGUCUUUCAUAGUCAGGCGCCCCGCCAGCCAGGCGGUCAGGUAGGUAGAAGGGCAACCUCAGGAACUAGAUCCGGCUGGGCCUCCCCUAACAACGUGGUCUUCGAUCCUCUAACCGGCUGGGCCUCGAACCUCAUCACACAGAGCUUUGAUAGGGCCGGAGACGCAGGUCAGCCUGACGAAGGCGUCAGGAGGAGUUGGGCAGGGGCGCGACUUCCUGCUGCACCACUUCCUUUCCAGCCACGCGGGCUUCUGGGACCCUAUGACAUAAUUUCUGGAAUGGUCUGUUUUGUGGCGGCGGCGAGGCCCAAGCACAGCCGCCCAAGGGGGAUGCAUAACCCAGGUCGUGUCCACCCCAAAGCUCGAGUCCUCUAGAAGCCAUGGCUUUUCCGCUGAAGCUAGAGCCGGACAUGCAGGGGAAAGUAGAUUUGUUUCGGGCCUGUAUCGCCCAGGAGGCCGAGGAUCUCGUGUCCGCCUUCUUUCCUCAGGAGGUCUUGGAGCUGAAUAGCCGAGUUCAGGAGCUCCGGCUGCAAGACCUGUCCAGAAUCCAUUCGGUGCCAACCCCGGAGCCCCUGGCCACCCCAGGCACCGCGGGAGAUGGGCCCAACCAAAAUCUGCCACCUCUGCAGACUCAGUUCUCCAUCGAGGUCCCAGCACUGCUUGGCAGCGGGGGACAGCGCCUGCGGAGCAACCAGCAUGUAAUGGAUCUGAUUGAUCAGGUAAAACCUGAGACUGAGCUGCUGAAAGAAAAAUGCAACACAGUGCGGAUGUGGGUGCACCUGCUUAUCCCGAAGGUGGAGGACGGCAACCACUGCAGGGUGUCUGGAUAUCCAGAAAGACACUGGACCAGCUGUGGACUGUGGAGAGCACAGCGGCCUCCUAUCUACGCGGUCUCAACCAUUAAUAAAUAACUGUGUGAUCAAUUUAAGUGAUUUUUAAUUUCAGGCCGGAUGCGGUGGCUCAUACCUGUAAUUCCAGCACUUUGGGAGGCCAAGGUGAGCA
Cercocebus atys (sooty mangabey) is the source of this 4207-nucleotide RNA transcript. It is a transcript of the gene named proteasome activator complex subunit 3 pseudogene, with no coding region annotated. The record is from RefSeq and is a predicted model, not a curated record. NCBI's taxonomy places the organism in Eukaryota, Metazoa, Chordata, Mammalia, Primates, Cercopithecidae. The transcript has a single exon.